GCCGACGUAGCUCAGUCGGUAGAGCAAUCGCCUUGUAAGCGAUAGGUCAUGGGUUCGAAUCCCAUCGUCGGCU
This 73-nucleotide transfer RNA is filed under the name Anaerolineales bacterium. Its description in RNAcentral is "tRNA-Thr". It matches the Rfam family "tRNA". Rfam says of the family: Transfer RNA (tRNA) molecules are approximately 80 nucleotides in length. The record is from RNAcentral. Lineage: Bacteria; Bacillati; Chloroflexota; Anaerolineae; Anaerolineales.